AAGGAGACGUGCACCGCCAACACGUGGGGGGGGCUGUAAGCUGGAGGAGCGCACAGCAAAGGUGUUAGUGCAAAGUGCAUUGAACCGGGUCCUGGGUUCUUGUCUCUGCACUUCCAUGAAGCUUUUUGUCUUCGUCCUGCCCUCUGGCUGUGUUUUGUGCGGAGCUGGCGUGAUUUGUGAGGCGGGUGUCAGCCUCCCCCUGCCUUCUGACCUCCGGAAAUCCUGCUGCGCGGGAGAGAACCUGUCAUCUCGUGUUUGCAAGCACUUUUCAAUUUAAUACAUUUUAAUCAGAAAAUUAAUCAGGAAACACCAGUUCAGCAAGAUAAUUGAACAAUGAAGAGACACGAUAAUUACUGUUUAGUCUAAUUAACUUUGUUAAGUCUUUAUUGGGAACAGAGACUUCCUGAGUGAAACUUAUUAAAUGGUUCUCCCUGGAAAACAGAAUCCCCAUCAAGAAGCCUUUGUUACUCGUACUGCUUGGUAGGAGUUGGGUGCCUGUCUUUAAAUCACGAUUAGGGAAGCCUACAGGUGGGUUUUGGGCAAGCUGUAAAUUACUUUUCAGUCUGCUCUCCUCCAUCUUCAGUUCACUUACAUCUCUUAUUCCUUGCUGUCCUCCCCUCUUCUUCCCAGGUCGGCAGGAUUGGAUUGCUGCCUCCGUGGCACUGCAGCAAGGGCGGGCAUGGUCGGAGCCGUGGCGGUUCUGCUUCUUGUUAACUUGGAAUAAUGACAGAUGGCUCUGGCUCAUCCAGAGGUUCGCAUACGAAGCCAUUCAGGGAAACCGCAGUGGAAACCUAAUGCCGAAAUCAGCCCUCAAAAUCGAAUUAACCUUUAGGAAGAUCUUACAAGUGACGCUGCGAGCAUUGCUUUCUCCUGAAGAGAAAGCAGCUGGAGGAAGUAACAUCUGAAAUUGCCACAAGUGUUUGUGAAGGCAGCACCUUGCCGUGGCAGUCUUUGGCAUCAGCAGAGGUGAGCAGGAUGAAACUCAGAAACAUCAGACUUGUAGUUUUUAAGGCCAGAAGGGACCAUUAGAUCAUAUAUUCCAACUGACGGAGUUUCUUUCACUUACCCUACUACUGGUACUAGUAACUUGCAUGUCUAAAGCAUAUCUUUCAGAGAAGUACAGGUCUAGGUUGGGAGGCUCCAAGUGAUGAAGAGGCUACUGCUUCCAGUUUGUUUGAAUAUUUAAUCGUCCCUAGUUUAAAGAAAAUGCAAGUCUUAUUUUGAAUUCAAAUUUGCUUGGCUUUAAUUUCCAUCAAGAGAUCCUCUCUGUGCUCAUAUCUGCUAGAUGAGAGAGCCCUUAGUAUCUCAUAUUUUCUUCCUGUGAAAGUGCUUUACACUUCAAUUAAAUUAUCUUUUGAAUUUUUUCCUGAUAAGUUAAGGAGAUUAGUCUUUCUGCAUUCUUCACUCUGAUGCAUUUGUUUCCCAAUGUCUGAGUCACUCACCUCUCAGUGCCCCCACUCCAGAUUUGUGUCUUGUAAUAGAGUACGGAUGCUGCAAAUAGGUGUAGCAUUGUUACGUGGAGCUCAGAGGUAGCCCACAGCCCUGGCUGUUGCUUCCAGUAUCUGAUUCUCCAUGCUCACUGAGACAGGUCAUGAACAAGCCUGGGACAUCACACCAGUGCACAACUGGUCAGAGAACCCAACUGCCUGCAUCCGGCUACUGGGGGCAAAACCUGCAAGAAGCAGUGUUUGAAUCCAAAUUUUGUUUGCAGCAACACCUUUCUGAUGCAAAGCUAUUAUUAAUGAACGCGGGGGAAAACAGCCAGAGAGCUCCCCAUAAGUCUUGUUUUGAGAUGAUUUUUCACUGUUCCUGUAUCUCAAUUCAGCUUUGAUCUCUCAUUUGUUUUCCUUCCCUAUUUCUUUCCUUUCUGGUGGAAGAUGGAGAGCAGCUACUGUGAAAUAGGUG
Long non-coding RNA from Anser cygnoides (Swan goose), 1905 nucleotides. Lineage: Eukaryota; Metazoa; Chordata; Aves; Anseriformes; Anatidae. The record is from Ensembl.